Molecule: long non-coding RNA, 4023 nt
Filed under: Homo sapiens (human)
Lineage: Eukaryota; Metazoa; Chordata; Mammalia; Primates; Hominidae
Description: HSALNT0096817
Source: RNAcentral
GGAAAUUCUAAAGGUUUAGAAACCCUUGUUCCCCGCGUAACUACUCCACCCAAGGCAAGUCUCAAGCUGUCCAACUUGAUGUCACUGAGUUCACCUGGAACCCAGAUGAAAUAUCAGGAGGAAAGGGAAGGGAGGAUCUGUAAUUGAAAAUAAAAGAGUGAAUUAUGAAAACUGAUUAAGCCAAACCCAUCGUAUUCAUAUAUUCAUGUGUAAUAUUUAAGAAACCACUGCCUAAUCCAAGGUCAUGAAGAUUAACAUCUAUGUUAUUAAAAUGAAGUUCUGAAGAAGCUGGAUUUAUGUGGCUAUGAACUCUACUUUUGCAUUCAGACAGGCAGGGGAUGCCUCAUCCUUUGAAUACUGGCACAUUAAGAGCAGUGACAUAGGUAAGAACUGAACCCAAGCACUAUAAGAGAGGAUGUUAAGCAAGAUCUAAAAAUCAACGUGAUCAACAAGAGCAGUAAUCUUUUCUUUUCCAAGAAAAAAGAAUGGAAGAAACAGAAGGUACUGGGCGCAAUGUAUUAAACACUGUGUUUUGAAUGACUCGAGAUUCUACGACUGCCUGGAGGGGUUUUGCUGGAUCGGUGCAAUGUCAUGUGAUUAUUGGAAAUUAAUCCCUUUUUUCAAGAAUUUUUCAAGAAUUAGGUUAAGUUAGAUUUGAGCAAACUUAAUUACCUUGCCAGGCAUUUGUUUUUCAGAAACAUAAUAAUCUAUGUAUUUGAUUCAAUUAGUAGUAGGCCCAUGGGUUGUUCUGUAAAUCACAAGUAUGAAAUACAGACUCUAAAAUUCAUUUAUUGAGCAAUUACCAUCUUCUGGGCAAUGACCUUGUGAGAGGAAUACCAUUAUGCCUAUUUUACUAAUAUGAGAAAUAAACCAAAAAGAGGUUAAGUAACCUGUCCAAAGAAAUACACCAAGAAGUGGGGGAGCUGAUUUGUACCCACAAAUGGUUCUUCAUUAAUUCUCUUUCAGCUGGGAAAGAUAAUUUCAAAUGUUAGCAUAUGUCCUGAUUUUAUCUUGUGUACAUCAUAUUAAAACCCAGAAGGACUGGUUGGCCAAUCGACAUCAUCCUUCAAACUUUUCUCCCUCUCUCCCUUCACUCAAUCUAGUCAACAAUUAGAAGACAGAAUCGAAGUGUGAUUUGUUGAUACCCAAAAAAGACUAUGAUGACUGAAGGAAAUGUAGAGUACUCUAGAUCACAAAAAAUAAUUCCUGCAUGGUGAUGGUGAGGGUUCAGUUCUCGUUCUCCCCAUCACAAUUCUAUGUAUAUAUGCCAUGAGGACAAACACUUGCAAAUAUAGGCAAACUGCUGAUUGUGGGAGGGUGGGGCAGAGUGCAGAAUGAAUCAGCUAUUAAGAUAAAUCAUCUAUUCAACUGUUAACCCCAGGCAAGCACAAAACCCACAGAAUAUUAUGAAAGAAUAUUCUCAAGCACUAGGUGUUUUUAGGAAUUCUAGAAACAAAGACUGAGAUAGCACUUGUUACAGACUAUUUUUUUUAGAGCAGUUUUAGGUUCACAGCAAAACUGAAAGGUACAUAGAUGGCUGGGGGCAGUGGCUCACACCUGUAAUCCCAGCACUUUGGGAGGUAGAGGCGGGCACAUCACUUGAGGCCAGGAGUUCGAGACCAGCUUGGCCAACAUGGCAAAACUCCCUCUCUACUAAAAACACAAAAAUUCGGCGGGCGAUAGUGGCAUGUGCCUGUAAUCCCAGCUACUCGGGAGGCUGAGGCAGGAGAAUUGCUUGAACCCAGGGAGGGGGAGGUUACAGUGAGCCGAGAUCGCACCACUGCACCCCAGCCUGGAUGAUACAGAGAUUUCCCAUAUACCCACUACCCCAUUCAGGAACAGCCUCCCCUACUACCAACAUCCCCCAUUGGAGUGGUACGUUUGUUACAAUCAAUGAACUUGUACUGACAUAUCAUUAUCACCCAAAUAUUAUUAAACAAUCUCUCCUUUUCUUACUUUUUUUGUGGUUAUUAGAAAAUUUAAAAUUACACAUAUGUGGCUUGCAUUAUAUUUAUCCUGGACAAUGUUGCUCUAGAAUCAACCUGCCUGGGUGUUAAAUCCUCCACAAACCUGAGGUAUGACCUUAAACAGUUAACAUAACCAUGUCUCAGUUUCCUUAUCUGCACAAUGGGCUUAAAGACAAUACUUUAAAGCAGCGGUCCCCAACCUUUUUGGCACCAGGGAUCACAUUUCUUGGAAGACAAUUUUUCCUCGGAACAGGAGUGGGGGUGGGUAGAUGGUUUCGGGAUGAAAUUGUUCCAUCUCAGAUUCUCAUUAAGGAGUGCCCAACGUAGAUCCCUCGCAUGCGCAGUUCACAAUAGGGUUCCUGUUCCCGCUCCUAUGAGAAUCUAAUGCCACCACUGAUCUGAGAUGGGACAGAGCUCUGUUGGUAAUGCUCCUGCGCCAUGCUCACCUCCUGCUGUGCAGCCCACUUCCCUUCUGUGGCCCAGUGGUUGGGGACCCCUGCUUUAAAGGAUUAAGAGCAUUUCUUAGACAUACUGAUGUUGGCAUGUGCCAAUGUUCAGUAAUAAUAGCAAGGGUACCAGCAAAAUGAUCAAAGAGUGAGCCUAUUCCGAGACAGAACAGAACUGGAAGUGGGAUAUAGUUGAAAAAUGGAAGGAUCACUAGAGCAGUUUAUUAAAACACACACAAACAAAAACAAUACAAAGCAAGCAGAUAGCUAGUUAGUGUUUAAAGUUACAUUUUCCAGGGUCAUAAAAGCAUCAUUCCUAUAUCAGUUGUUACAGAGGAAAUCUGGAGGAAAUAGUGGCAGAUUGCAGGUAUGCUGACCAUUGACUGAAAAUAAAAAUAAAUACAUCUACAAAGCAAGGACAAUGAUACAUCUGUGGUUGUUAACUGGAGUCUUAGGCUUUCAUCCCCCAGCUUUGCUGAGGAUGCAGAAACUGAGUUAAGCCAACAUCAGAGGCAGAGCACCGAGCAACAAAAUCUGACUUUAAACAGAUUGUUGCCAGUGAUUUUCUCAAACCAUAAGUAAAACACAGAAUCUAUAGUUUGCCCAUUUUUUGUUUUGAGGCAAAAAGUUUUAAUUUUAUACCCAUAAGGUUGUGAGAAUUAAAUAAAAUAUCACAUCUAUUAUAUUUACAUGCAUUAAUAAUAGCUUAUUGGGAAUAUUAUUAUGGGAAAGUCAUGAGGAUAAAAAAGUUAUAGUUUAGUUUCACCAUGUUUAAAAUCAUAAUAAUACGGCUGGGCGUGGUGGCUCAUGCUUGUAAUCCCAGAACUUUGGGAAGGCCAAGGCGGGUGGAUCACGAGGUCAGGAGAUCGAGACCAGCCUGGCCAACAUGAUGAAACUCCGUCUGUACUAAAAAUACAAAAAAAUUAGCUGGGCAUGGUGGUGCGCACCUGUAGUCCCAGCUACUCGGGAAGCUGAGGCAGGAGAAUCUCUUGAACCUAGGAGGCAAAGGUUGCAGUGACCCAAGAUUGUGCCACUGCACUCCCGCCUGGCAACAGAGUAAGACUCCAUCUCAAAAUAAAAAUAAAAAAAAUAAUAAUAAUAAUUGUGAAUUACAUCAAAAUUGGAAUUAUUAAAAUACAAUCAGAUUCAGACAUUAAUUUUUUCUUAGAGUCAGGGUCCCAUUCUGUCACCCAGGCUGGAGUGAAGUGGCAUGCUCAUGGCUCACUGCAGCCUUGAACUCCUGGGCUCAAGUGAUUCUCACAUCUCAGUCUCCUGAGUAGCUGGGACUACAGGCAUGUGCCAUCACUCCUGACUAAGUUUUUCUAUUUUUAGUAGAGACAGGGUCUCACUUUGUUGGCCAGGCUGGUCUCAAACUCCUGGCCUGAAGUGAUCCUUCUGUCUUAGCCUCCCAAAGUGCUGGGAUUCCAGGAGUAAGCCACCACACCCAACCUCAGAAAGAGUAAUUUUAAGAAAAAAAUUAAUGUAGAAAUCACUGUUGAUUUAAAAUAUGGAGCAUUUCAAGAUUGGAGAGUCAUAAACUAAUUUGGAACUAUUUAAUACUUUUUACAUUUGCUAGUAGCAGUGACAGCAGAAAAUACAUUUCCAAGUGG